UCCUCCCGCCCUCACCAUCGACCAGCCCGUAUUUCAGGAGAAUGAAAUCCACUUUGGCUCGAGGUGGGGUCCACUCCACAAAGGCCACAGUGUCGGAGACAUCUCGUACUAAGAUCUGUGUGGGUCCAUCAAUGACUAGCCCUGUCUGGUUGAAGGAUGUGACAUCACUGGGUAGCUGGGCAAUCACUCCUCCUUCAUUGUUCUGGAAGAUGCAAAGAAGAAAUAAAAGAGAAAAAAGAACACAUCACUAGGAGAGAAGUGUUGGAUCUGCCUUGUCAACAUGAUGACCAACUGAGCUCUCUCUGGAUAUGAAUUCUCUGCUAGAAAACUUCCUAUUCCAUUCCAACUAAAGAGUGACAGUCAUUUUUGGAAACUA
Monodelphis domestica (gray short-tailed opossum) is the source of this 376-nucleotide non-coding RNA. NCBI's taxonomy places the organism in Eukaryota, Metazoa, Chordata, Mammalia, Didelphimorphia, Didelphidae. The record is from RefSeq and is a predicted model, not a curated record.